CAGUCGCCGCGGUAAUACGAAGGGGGCUAGCGUUGUUCGGAUUUAUUGGGCGUAAAGGGCUCGUAGGUGGUUGAUCGCGUCGGAAGUGUAAUCUUGGGGCUUAACCCUGAGCGUGCUUUCGAUACGGGUUGACUUGAGGAAGGUAGGGGAGAAUGGAAUUCCUGGUGGAGCGGUGGAAUGCGCAGAUAUCAGGAGGAACACCAGUGGCGAAGGCGGUUCUCUGGGCCUUUCCUGACGCUGAGGAGCGAAAGCGUGGGGAGCGAACAGGCUUAGAUACCCCUGUAGUCCCUGUCUCUUAUAC
This 301-nucleotide ribosomal RNA is filed under the name uncultured bacterium. RNAcentral describes it as "partial 16S ribosomal RNA". It matches the Rfam family "Bacterial small subunit ribosomal RNA", at positions 509 to 807 of the family's 1533-position model. The record is from RNAcentral.